CACGGAAGUUCGUCUGCAGUCUCUGCACUCUCUUGUGUAGCUACAAGUUUUUUGUCCACAGGCGGAUAGGCCCACGCCCCACAGCACUGAUGGUUUAAAUCAUCCCACCACUUCGAUCUGAUGCAACAGCAGCAAGUCUAAGAUUUUCAAGUACAGUGUUGCUGUUGAAGUUACCUCUGCUUGCAAUUAAUCCAAUGAUGUAGAACGUGUAGAACAAGUAUGUAAUUAAGUGAACUUAAACAUUUAGUGUUAGCUACACUUACCCAUGUGACUACCAGACACAAUGAUUGCCUAAAAUUAGACAAAUUCCAAUCUUCAGUCUACAUGGGGAUCGGCAUGGAUUACAGUUCCACAUCAGAAAAUAAAAUAUCAGUGAUGAAAAGAACUCAACAUUGGUGUAAAAAAACUCUGGAAUCUUUGGGUCACGACCGACAUUGACACGAAUGCUGGUUCCAUAUAAAACGCAUCUUAGCCGAACUGACGUUCCGGAAGAAAUUGGCUUCGGUGAUGUUCUCAUUGAGGAAAGUAGUACUGGACACUACUCGAGCCCCUAUCAAAUGAACUGUUGUUGCAGUUCUAAUCAAGAUGAAAUUUGAAAACCCCUGUAUCACAAGCUACAGUAUUUGAAGCAGGUGACUCCCACAAUACAGUUGACAAAGAAGUAUCAGAUCGAGUCCUUAUCAGUGUGGGCCUAGUUCUCCCCCCAGUCAAUCCGGCUGAAGAAAAUGCGUCGCAGCCGGAAACAUCUUGUAGUUAUUUCAUGUUAAUUGAUUUGGAAUUCGAUGAAGUACUGCCGAAUUUGGAUCGUGGACAGCAUCAUUCCUUUGGCUGAAGAAGAUCUCGGUUCUCUAGGAUGACCUGGCGCUACAGCUCACAUUCUUGUCCAGGAUCAACUCGCUUAUUCACUCCCACCAUUUGGGGACUUUAUUGCCGAAUUUUCCGAUAUCGUACCAAAUGAAGUUGUUGUUCACCGUUCCACAUCGGAAGCCACUACUCCAGUUCCAGUGAUCGUUUUCUACUCUUCGUCUUUCUAGGGAGAGCCUAGAGUAGCAUUUCCGAUACAAGCCUCAGACAGUAGGUG
Long non-coding RNA from Daphnia pulex (common water flea), 1081 nucleotides. RefSeq lists it as uncharacterized. Lineage: Eukaryota; Metazoa; Arthropoda; Branchiopoda; Diplostraca; Daphniidae. The record is from RefSeq and is a predicted model, not a curated record. The transcript has 6 exons.